ACGUAGGCAGCAAGCGUUGUUCGGAAUUACUGGGCGUAAGGGGUGCGUAGGCGGUUUUGUAAGUUUGGUGUGAAAUCUCCCGGCUCAACUGGGAGGGUGCGCCGAAAACUGCAAGGCUAGAGUACAGGAGAGGAGAGUGGAAUUCCUGGUGUAGCGGUGAAAUGCGUAGAUAUCAGGAGGAACACCGGUGGUGUAGACGGCUCUCUGGACUGUUACUGACGCUGAGGCACGAAAGCGUGGGGAGCAAACAG
This 251-nucleotide ribosomal RNA is filed under the name uncultured prokaryote. RNAcentral's name for it is "partial 16S ribosomal RNA". It matches the Rfam family "Bacterial small subunit ribosomal RNA", at positions 525 to 775 of the family's 1533-position model. The record is from RNAcentral.